This 862-nucleotide ribosomal RNA is filed under the name uncultured Duganella sp. RNAcentral's name for it is "bacterial SSU rRNA". It matches the Rfam family "Bacterial small subunit ribosomal RNA", at positions 58 to 918 of the family's 1533-position model. The record is from RNAcentral. Lineage: Bacteria; Pseudomonadati; Pseudomonadota; Betaproteobacteria; Burkholderiales; Oxalobacteraceae.
CAAGUCGAACGGCAGCGCGGGGCAACCUGGCGGCGAGUGGCGAACGGGUGAGUAAUAUAUCGGAACGUACCCUGGAGUGGGGGAUAACGUAGCGAAAGUUACGCUAAUACCGCAUACGAUCUAAGGAUGAAAGUGGGGGAUCGCAAGACCUCAUGCUCCUGGAGCGGCCGAUAUCUGAUUAGCUAGUUGGUAGGGUAAAAGCCUACCAAGGCAUCGAUCAGUAGCUGGUCUGAGAGGACGACCAGCCACACUGGAACUGAGACACGGUCCAGACUCCUACGGGAGGCAGCAGUGGGGAAUUUUGGACAAUGGGCGCAAGCCUGAUCCAGCAAUGCCGCGUGAGUGAAGAAGGCCUUCGGGUUGUAAAGCUCUUUUGUCAGGGAAGAAACGGUCUGCUCUAAUACAGCGGGCUAAUGACGGUACCUGAAGAAUAAGCACCGGCUAGCUACGUGCCAGCAGCCGCGGUAAUACGUAGGGUGCAAGCGUUAAUCGGAAUUACUGGGCGUAAAGCGUGCGCAGGCGGUUUUGUAAGUCUGUCGUGAAAUCCCCGGGCUCAACCUGGGAAUGGCGAUGGAGACUGCAAGGCUAGAGUUUGGCAGAGGGGGGUAGAAUUCCACGUGUAGCAGUGAAAUGCGUAGAUAUGUGGAGGAACACCGAUGGCGAAGGCAGCCCCCUGGGUCAAAACUGACGCUCAUGCACGAAAGCGUGGGGAGCAAACAGGAUUAGAUACCCUGGUAGUCCACGCCCUAAACGAUGUCUACUAGUUGUCGGGUCUUAAUUGACUUGGUAACGCAGCUAACGCGUGAAGUAGACCGCCUGGGGAGUACGGUCGCAAGAUUAAAACUCAAAGGAAUUGACGGGG